Astatotilapia calliptera (eastern happy) is the source of this 1613-nucleotide long non-coding RNA. The record is from Ensembl. Lineage: Eukaryota; Metazoa; Chordata; Actinopteri; Cichliformes; Cichlidae.
AAGUGUACCUGGGGGCACCUGAGUGGAGUCAACACCAGAAAACUGGAAGAAAGUAGACCAACACCUAUACCACCACAGGCAGGCACUGUUGGGAGGCAAGUUACAGGGAGGAGUGCCCAGAGAGGGCAACUCAGUUAAAUACACAAAACACUUCUGUGUUAAAACAUUUAAUCAGGCUAAAAUACAAUUUAACAAGCCUAAGCAAGACAACAACAAUGGAGACCUAGAGUAUAUUAAAAAGCAGGAAAAAAAACUCCUGGGUCCACUCUACUAAAUUGCAGACCCCAUACUCAGCCUGUUCUCACUCCCGAGGCGUAAUAUAGUGACAAUUUAUCAAGUCCUGAGGAACGUGAAAGAUGACCUUCUGCGUUCUUAUGCUACACGCUGGGUUAUGGAUGAAAUCCAGCAGAAUGACACUCUGCUGUAAUAGACGUUCCAGCCAUGUAUUCCAGCCUGAACCCUAAACUUAUCCCUAACGCUAACCAGUGCUUUAAUGACGUUAGAUAGUGUUUUCCAAAGCGAUCUAAGUAAAAUGAAUGUACGUGUGUAGAUUAAUUCCAAACAGUUCUCAUGUUUAACCCAGGCAAGGAGUGACUGACUGAAUUCAGGCCAAUCUUUUUUUUUUUUCUUUUGUUUGUCCAGUUUGGCUCUUUUGCCAUCAGAAUUAUUGUCUAAAGGCAAAGAAAGAUGCCCAACGGAUUUACUUUACCAAAUGGACCAUCCCAGCCUUGCCGUAAUCGUCUAUUUGAUUCACCUUUUAUUGUUUAUUUUAUUUUAUUUUCACUUCCUAAAUAUGGGACAGACAUGACUGGGGAUAAGAAAGAGGGGGGAAAAACAGCGGAGAAGAGGGAUGGUGAUAAAGGGCAAAAAACAAAAACAAACAAAAUAAGCAGACAAAAAAUACAUAUAUCAAUCACCUGGAUCACCUGUUGAGAAAGAAAAAAGAGAAAACAAGCAAAAAAAAAAGAGAGCAAUAUAAUAAACAACAUCAUCAUGAUAAUCUAUGUGAAUAUAACCUCCAAACCGUGGAGGGCCUGAGAUGUCCCCAGAGAGGUGGCGUCUGAUACCCGACCUGACAUAAAGACACAGACAUACAGGCACACACAGAUGCAAACAUCCAUUCCCACCCUCAUGCUCUCAUAUGCAAAUACUCAGCACUCAUGUGAGAAGGCUCCAAACCUCACUCUGCCACUGUGGGAUAAAAUUGAGGCACAGGCAGCCAGAGGGGGGCAGAGGGGGGGAUGCCUGACUUUGACUAUAGUAUAUACAGUAAGGUAUAAACGAGAAGGUAUAAAAUGUCACUGUAUGUGUAUUUGUGUGAAUGUGUAUAUCCAUCCAUCCAUCCAUUCGCUUCCGCUUAUCCUUUUCAGGGUCGCGGGGGGCGCUGGAGCCUAUCCCAGCUGUCUGUAGGGCGAGAGGCGGGGUACACCCUGGACAGGUCACCAGUCUGUCGCAGGGCUAACACACAGGGACAGACAACCAUUCACACUCACAUUCAUUCACACCUAAUGGCAAUUUGGAUUAUCCAAUUAACCUAUCCCCACAAACUGCAUGUCUUUGGACGGUGGCAAGAAGCCAAGGCAGAAGAAUGUGUAUAGAUUUUUUAAAAUUUU